RNAcentral lists this ribosomal RNA (1333 nucleotides) under Paenarthrobacter sp. RNAcentral's name for it is "bacterial SSU rRNA". It matches the Rfam family "Bacterial small subunit ribosomal RNA", at positions 80 to 1424 of the family's 1533-position model. Lineage: Bacteria; Bacillati; Actinomycetota; Actinomycetes; Micrococcales; Micrococcaceae. The record is from RNAcentral.
CUUGCUGGGGGAUUAGUGGCGAACGGGUGAGUAACACGUGAGUAACCUGCCCUUGACUCUGGGAUAAGCCUGGGAAACUGGGUCUAAUACCGGAUACGACCAUCUGGCGCAUGUCAUGGUGGUGGAAAGCUUUUGUGGUUUUGGAUGGACUCGCGGCCUAUCAGCUUGUUGGUGGGGUAAUGGCCUACCAAGGCGACGACGGGUAGCCGGCCUGAGAGGGUGACCGGCCACACUGGGACUGAGACACGGCCCAGACUCCUACGGGAGGCAGCAGUGGGGAAUAUUGCACAAUGGGCGCAAGCCUGAUGCAGCGACGCCGCGUGAGGGAUGACGGCCUUCGGGUUGUAAACCUCUUUCAGUAGGGAAGAAGCGAAAGUGACGGUACCUGCAGAAGAAGCGCCGGCUAACUACGUGCCAGCAGCCGCGGUAAUACGUAGGGCGCAAGCGUUAUCCGGAAUUAUUGGGCGUAAAGAGCUCGUAGGCGGUUUGUCGCGUCUGCUGUGAAAGACCGGGGCUCAACUCCGGUUCUGCAGUGGGUACGGGCAGACUAGAGUGCAGUAGGGGAGACUGGAAUUCCUGGUGUAGCGGUGAAAUGCGCAGAUAUCAGGAGGAACACCGAUGGCGAAGGCAGGUCUCUGGGCUGUAACUGACGCUGAGGAGCGAAAGCAUGGGGAGCGAACAGGAUUAGAUACCCUGGUAGUCCAUGCCGUAAACGUUGGGCACUAGGUGUGGGGGACAUUCCACGUUUUCCGCGCCGUAGCUAACGCAUUAAGUGCCCCGCCUGGGGAGUACGGCCGCAAGGCUAAAACUCAAAGGAAUUGACGGGGGCCCGCACAAGCGGCGGAGCAUGCGGAUUAAUUCGAUGCAACGCGAAGAACCUUACCAAGGCUUGACAUGAACCGGAAAGACCUGGAAACAGGUGCCCCGCUUGCGGUCGGUUUACAGGUGGUGCAUGGUUGUCGUCAGCUCGUGUCGUGAGAUGUUGGGUUAAGUCCCGCAACGAGCGCAACCCUCGUUCUAUGUUGCCAGCGCGUUAUGGCGGGGACUCAUAGGAGACUGCCGGGGUCAACUCGGAGGAAGGUGGGGACGACGUCAAAUCAUCAUGCCCCUUAUGUCUUGGGCUUCACGCAUGCUACAAUGGCCGGUACAAAGGGUUGCGAUACUGUGAGGUGGAGCUAAUCCCAAAAAGCCGGUCUCAGUUCGGAUUGGGGUCUGCAACUCGACCCCAUGAAGUCGGAGUCGCUAGUAAUCGCAGAUCAGCAACGCUGCGGUGAAUACGUUCCCGGGCCUUGUACACACCGCCCGUCAAGUCACGAAAGUUGGUAACACCCGA